Molecule: ribosomal RNA, 497 nt
Filed under: uncultured bacterium
Lineage: Bacteria
Description: partial 16S ribosomal RNA
Rfam family: Bacterial small subunit ribosomal RNA
Source: RNAcentral
GAUGAACGCUGGCGGCGUGCCUAAUACAUGCAAGUCGAGCGAACAGAUGAGGAGCUUGCUCCUCUGACGUUAGCGUCGGACGUGUGAGUAACACGUUGAUAACCUACCUAUAAGACUGGGAUCACUGCGUGAAACCUGAGCUAAUACCGGAUAAUAUAUUGAACUUCAUGGUUCAAUAGUGAUAGACGGAUUUGCUGACACUUAUAGAUGCAUCCUCGCCGCAUUAGCUAGUUGGUAAGGUAACGGCUUACCAAGGCAACGAUGCGUAGCCGACCUGAGAGGGUGAUCGGCAACACUGGAACUGAGACACGGUCCAGACUCCUACGGGAGGCAGAAGUGGGGAAUCUUGGGAAAUGGGCGAAAGCUUGACGGAGCAACGCCGCGUGAGUGAUGAAGGUCUUCGGAUCGUAAAACUCUGUGAUUAGGGAAGAAGAAAUGUGUAAGUAAAUAUGCACGUCUUGACGGUACCUAAUCAGAAAGCCACGGCUAACUACGUG